CGCCGAUUAAAGUGGUACGUGAGCUGGGUUUAGAACGUCGUGAGACAGUUCGGUCCCUAUCUGCCGUGGGUGUAGGAGACUUGAGAGGAGUUGCCCCUAGUACGAGAGGACCGGGGUGAACGAUCCACUGGUGGACCAGUUGUCGUGCCAACGGCAGUGCUGGGUAGCUAUGAUCGGACAGGAUAACCGCUGAAGGCAUCUAAGCGGGAAGCCCCCCUCGAAACAAGGUAUCCCUUGAGAGCCGUGGAAGACGACCACGUCGAUAGGCUGGGUGUGGAAGCAUGGCAACAUGUGUAGCUGA
RNAcentral lists this ribosomal RNA (301 nucleotides) under Lotharella globosa. RNAcentral describes it as "partial Bacterial large subunit ribosomal RNA". It matches the Rfam family "Bacterial large subunit ribosomal RNA", at positions 2582 to 2894 of the family's 2925-position model. Lineage: Eukaryota; Cercozoa; Chlorarachniophyceae. The record is from RNAcentral.